This 502-nucleotide ribosomal RNA is filed under the name uncultured bacterium. Its description in RNAcentral is "bacterial SSU rRNA". It matches the Rfam family "Bacterial small subunit ribosomal RNA", at positions 8 to 518 of the family's 1533-position model. The record is from RNAcentral.
AGAGUUUGAUUAUGGCUCAGGAUGAACGCUGGCGGCGUGCUUAACACAUGCAAGUCGAACGGAGCCUAGCGAGUGCUUGCACUUGCGAAAGCUUAGUGGCGGACGGGUGAGUAACGCGUGGGUAACCUGCCCUAUACUGGGGGGAUAACAGUUGGAAACGACUGCUAAUACCGCAUAAGCCUACGGUGCCGCAUGACACAGUAGGAAAAACUCCGGUGGUAUAGGAUGGACCCGCGUCUGAUUAGCUAGUUGGUGAGGUAACGGCCCACCAAGGCGACGAUCAGUAGCCGGCCUGAGAGGGUGAACGGCCACAUUGGGACUGAGACACGGCCCAAACUCCUACGGGAGGCAGCAGUGGGGAAUAUUGCACAAUGGGGGAAACCCUGAUGCAGCCGACGCCGCGUGAGCGAAGAAGUAUUUCGGUAUGUAAAGCUCUAUCAGCAGGGAAGAUAAUGACGGUACCUGACUAAGAAGCACCGGCUAAAUACGUGCCAGCAGCCGC